This 487-nucleotide ribosomal RNA is filed under the name uncultured bacterium. RNAcentral's name for it is "partial 16S ribosomal RNA". It matches the Rfam family "Bacterial small subunit ribosomal RNA", at positions 28 to 506 of the family's 1533-position model. The record is from RNAcentral.
GACGAACGCUGGCGGCGUGCUUAACACAUGCAAGUCGAACGGACAGGCCCUGCUCUUGUGGGUUUGUCGAUUGGCGAACGGGUGUGUGACACGCGAGUAACCUGCACUUGUCUUUGGGAUAACUUCACGAAACUGGGGCGAAUACCGGAGAUGAUCUCCUGCAGCAUGGGGGGGGUUGGUAAGUUUCGGCUGUUGGGGAUGGUCUCGCGGCUUAUCAGCUAGUUGGGAAGGUAACGGCUUACCAAGGCUUCGACGGGUAGCCGACCUGAGAGGGUGAUCGGCCACACUGGAACUGAGACACGGUCCAGACGCCUACGGGAGGCAGCAGUAGGGAAUCUUCCGCAAUGGGCGAAAGCCUGACGGAGCAACGCCGCGUGAGUGAUGAAGGUGUUCGGAUCGUAAAACUCUGUUAUUAGGGAAGAACAAAUGUGUAAGUAACUAUGCACGUCUUGACGGUACCUAAUCAGAAAGCCACGGCUAACUACGU